Molecule: long non-coding RNA, 466 nt
Organism: Corvus moneduloides (New Caledonian crow)
Lineage: Eukaryota; Metazoa; Chordata; Aves; Passeriformes; Corvidae
Source: Ensembl
UAGGUUAAAUAUAACUGCCAUGGCUUCCACUUUUGGCAGGAGACUCCUGAUGUCUGCAUGUCUCUCACACUGUGGGUCCACCGGGCACCGUGAUUGCUGAGUGCCCUACCAGGAGAAGUCUUCCAACUUGAAUCAAGAAACUUAAGGAAAGAGCUCAUCUGGUCAGGUCUAAAGGUACCUAUGCCAAAUAGUUAUGAACAUACAUUACAUCAACAUCAAGACAGCUGCUUUUCAGUCACUGACUAAUAGAUGCAAGUAAAUGGAUCACAACAAAUAAUCUAGUCAAUAACGAAGAUUCUCUUUUUCCUCACAUUUAUUGACCAAAUAGCAUAUCGAAACCAUAAUAUCCUGCAGAUUGAUGGGUUUGGAAAUUUGAACAAUGCUGCUUGACCAAUAGUGGCCAUGUUAAGUUAUUCCUGUUCCUUUACUCAAUAAGCAAGGUCACUUUUCCAUAAACCUGCAUUUC